AUGGCUCAGAUUGAACGCUGGCGGCAGGCCUAACACAUGCAAGUCGAGCGGAUGACGGGAGCUUGCUCCUUGAUUCAGCGGCGGACGGGUGAGUAAUGCCUAGGA
This 105-nucleotide ribosomal RNA is filed under the name Pseudomonas sp. URMO17WK12:I5. Its description in RNAcentral is "16S rRNA. Bacterial SSU". It matches the Rfam family "Bacterial small subunit ribosomal RNA", at positions 19 to 122 of the family's 1533-position model. The record is from RNAcentral. Lineage: Bacteria; Pseudomonadati; Pseudomonadota; Gammaproteobacteria; Pseudomonadales; Pseudomonadaceae.